Molecule: ribosomal RNA, 603 nt
Filed under: uncultured fungus
Lineage: Eukaryota; Fungi
Description: eukaryotic LSU rRNA
Rfam family: Eukaryotic large subunit ribosomal RNA
Source: RNAcentral
ACCCGCUGAACUUAAGCAUAUCAAUAAGCGGAGGAAAAGAAACCAACAGGGAUUGCCCUAGUAACGGCGAGUGAAGCGGCAACAGCUCAAAUUUGAAAUCUGGCUCUUUUAGAGUCCGAGUUGUAAUUUGCAGAGGGCGCUUUGGCUUUGGCAGCGGUCCAAGUUCCUUGGAACAGGACGUCACAGAGGGUGAGAAUCCCGUACGUGGUCGCUGGCUAUUGCCGUGUAAAGCCCCUUCGACGAGUCGAGUUGUUUGGGAAUGCAGCUCUAAAUGGGAGGUACAUUUCUUCUAAAGCUAAAUAUUGGCCAGAGACCGAUAGCGCACAAGUAGAGUGAUCGAAAGAUGAAAAGCACUUUGGAAAGAGAGUCAAACAGCACGUGAAAUUGUUGAAAGGGAAGCGCUUGCAGCCAGACUUGCUUACAGUUGCUCAUCCGGGCUUUUGCCCGGUGCACUCUUCUGUAGGCAGGCCAGCAUCAGUUUGGGCGGUAGGAUAAAGGUCUCUGUCACGUACCUCUCUUCGGGGAGGACUUAUAGGGGAGACGACAUACUACCAGCCUGGACUGAGGUCCGCGCAUCUGCUAGGAUGCUGGCGUAAUGCCUGU